RNAcentral lists this transfer RNA (76 nucleotides) under Lentisphaerota bacterium. RNAcentral describes it as "Lentisphaerae bacterium (anaerobic digester metagenome) tRNA-Glu". It matches the Rfam family "tRNA". From Rfam's summary of the family: Transfer RNA (tRNA) molecules are approximately 80 nucleotides in length. Their secondary structure includes four short double-helical elements and three loops (D, anti-codon, and T loops). RNAcentral also lists the same sequence under 2 other names. The record is from RNAcentral. Lineage: Bacteria; Pseudomonadati; Lentisphaerota.
GUCUCCAUCGUCUAGAGGCCUAGGACACCGGGUUUUCAUCCCGGCAACAGGGGUUCGAAUCCCCUUGGAGAUGCCA